UAAAUGACAUGUCCAGGGGGACACAGUUGGUAGAUGUUUAAAGGAAGCUGGAUAGAGAUGGAGGAGGAACACGGAAACAAUCAAAAGGGUUCAUAGAAUUUAGAACUCGAAUAGUGCAAAUGGAGCUUUUUUCCAGGUAUCAACAGAAGGAAGGUGCUUUCUCCAUAUAGUGGUCCAGGCUGGAGAGUGCUAUCCUUGUACAUUGCAUCCCUUUGUCAAUC
RNAcentral lists this long non-coding RNA (221 nucleotides) under Monodelphis domestica (gray short-tailed opossum). RNAcentral describes it as "lncRNA (ENSMODG00000038836.1)". Lineage: Eukaryota; Metazoa; Chordata; Mammalia; Didelphimorphia; Didelphidae. The record is from RNAcentral.